This 1082-nucleotide long non-coding RNA is filed under the name Sinocyclocheilus grahami. Its description in RNAcentral is "lncRNA (ENSSGRG00000030827.1)". Lineage: Eukaryota; Metazoa; Chordata; Actinopteri; Cypriniformes; Cyprinidae. The record is from RNAcentral.
AUCCUUAUGAAUGCAAUGAGGACUUUUAUUUUGGCAGAUGAGCAGAUCUGUCUGUCUGGGUUUCACCCAUCACAUCUUCAUCACAUUCGGACAUAUAAUCACUGUUUUCCAUCUCUCCUGCCGCUGUCAUCGCCUGUUUUUCGAUCCAGGAUAAUUAUCUACCUUUUUACCGUCGCGUGGUCCACUAUAUGUGUUUCAGCAGCAGAAAUGGACAACAGCUCGACGACUUGUCCAUUUGACACACAGGGCUACAGUUCAACAUUUAAGCGGAAACGAACAGUGGAAGAUUUCAACAAGUUCUGUACUUUUGUGCUCGCAUAUGCCGGUUAUAUUCCUUAUCCACAGGAGGUGAGUAUGAUCUUGUCUUUGUUAUGUAACUGAGUGGUGAUUGUGGAAAAAAUGCUACUCACUGUGCUUGUACAUUUGAUAGAAAGUGUUGCAGGGUGAAGUGGCCUUGCUUUCCUCAGGAUCGCUCAACGAUCUGACACUUCGACCUCCAGAUGUUCCUUUCCGUGGCAGUGGUGUAGCACUGGGUGUUCAUGGGAAUUUUUUUCCUUUUUUUUUUUUUUUGGUGCCACACCUCUUAUGAGCUGCUUUGCUGCUGAUGCUCUUGUUUGAUCUACAGAAAUGGUGGUGGCUCUUAUGUCAUGGCCGCUGAGAGACAUCCCCCCUCCAAAAAAACCUCAGCCCUCCCUCCCUGGGUAAGAGGGCCACUCCAGUCUCCUCCAUUCUCAUCCCAGACCUUGUCUCUUAAGUGCCAUUCUUCACAACAGCAGUGUGUGUGCAUCCACAAACACUUCAGUUUCAGGUCUUCCCUUUAAUGGAUCCUUCAAAUGGAUGGAGGCUAAAUCAAGGAAAAUCUGUUGCAGGGAAAUGCAUGAGGGCCGAUAAUUGCCCCAAAUGUUCCAAAACCCAGUGUGCUGUCUACAUAGGGUGCUGCCUUCUAAGGAAACAUCCUAUCUGCUAACAUACAGUGCAUGGGACACUCAACUCUCAAAUGACACUGGCAUGAUGGUUAGAUAAUAAUAAAAUGGGGGUACAUAUAUAUAUAUAUAUAUAUAUAUAUAUAUAUAUACAUAAAA